CUUUUUUUUUUUUUUUUUUUUUUUUUUGAAAAGGGCAGGUAGCAAAUAUUAGAGGCUUUGCAAGCUAAGACAAAAUGAAGGACAUUAUUUAGGUACUCAAGGAAACUUUUCACCAAAUUUUUAUUCUAAAAAUUGAAAACUCAAAAUAUUGAGUACAAUUUUUUUUUCUUUUUUUAGUAAUAGAGUUCUACUAAUGGGAAUAAUGGGAUUUUUUGGCAGGGGACGGGAGGUAACAUUUUGCUCAAUUUGGGCUGAAAGUUGGUAUCCCCUCAUUGGAAUAAAUAGAAAAUGUUAAUCUGUUAAUGCUGAUGUGUAAUGGGAUUUCACGUAUUUCAUCUUUGAAAAUGUCUUUUCACACAAACAGGUCAAGGUACUGCUAAAUACUGACACAUCCACCCAUGAGCAUGUGAUUUUAGUUAAGCAUAUUCAUCACUUGUAAGGCAUUUGUAGGAUUCAUCUUUUUGGUAUUUGCCCUUUAGCAUGUCAUUCAUUCAAGAUGAUUCAUUUCCAACAGAAGAUUAAGAGGAAACUUUAAAAGCAUUUAAUUGCAGUUAAAUGCUUUUAAAAUUUAAAAAUUUUCUUUGCACUGCAUCAAGGUCCAAAAAACUGCUACAGGAAAAUAUAUCCACUAAAAAUGGAUUUGGCAAUACAGCGCUGUUUUGACUUCUCAUAGCACAGAAAGUAUAUAAAGCAGCUUGACAAUCUUAAGUUUUAGUUUUUAUUGAAAUGAAUUUACCAUAUUAUGUUGUUGUACCUUGUAAUUUCAGGUCAAAUUCAUUAAGAAACAUUUUCAAGUCUGUGGCAAAAGUUAAUUUCCAAAGUUACUCAGUGUUAAAAAACAGUGGUUGAGGAUGGUUUUUCUCAUUCAGAAAAAUUUCAAUGUCAGCCCAGAGCCCAAAAAAAUAAAAAUAAAUCUUUAGCACUGCUAAGCCAUUGAACGCCUGUGUGGCAAAUCAAAUCAGGAUAUUCAGCUUCUGUUUCUCACAAAAAAAAAAAAAUCAUGGAACUGAAGAUGGUUAAGUCCACAAGAGCAAAUGAAGUUAACUGUUGACCAGUUCAGUAACACCAAUAUUUCCUGUGAAGUACCUGCUGAUGAAUAAUCAAGUGAGUAACUACAGGCUUUAAACAACUUACGUUUUCACAAGCCUUAAAAUUUGACCAAAUAAACUUUUUUUCUGCUUCAUGCAUUUUUCCCAGCAUCGGUUGCAUCACAUCUUAGUAGAUUCCACUUCAGGUUGUACUGUUUAUCAACUUUUUUGAAAAUAUUCCCACUUGUAGUUCCAUACAAAUUCUUCGAUCACUUCAAAUCCAGCAAUGGUUUCUCAAAAAAUAAAGCUAGGCAGUACUGACUAGUAAGAGGCAAAGAAUUAACAGUGUCAUUUGAUGUUGUGUCCAAAAUCCUCAUUCUUCAAACUACUGUUCUCAUCAAAGGGCUGAUGUCUUAAUUUUCUCUGGACACAUGUCUUUGGGUUGGUUACUAUCUUCAAGCACGAUGUAAUUCAGCAUUAGUAAAUGGUUUUCUUUGCUUGGCUAACAAAUAGGCUACUUGUAAACAUUUUGGUUGCAGCCUCAUUUUUAUUACUUUUGUGAAAUUUUGCUGUGAUGUUUCAUUUAAAUUUUCUAAUUCUUCUGACUGUUGCUUUCCCACCAGUUGGGAAUAUUGUGAUGUUAGUCUGAUACUGUCAGUCUAUUCUUUUACCAGUUAUGGUGACACUGCAUUAUAAACACAAUGUACCAGCAUAUAAUAAAAUAGUCCAUAUUCCAAUGUGCCUUGAAAGUGUAACAUUCAAAGGUACUUUUCUUGUUCUGAGAUACAGGGCAUGAACUGGUAGCAGAAAAAGUAAUAAAUCUAGCAAUACACAGGGCAUUCCAAAUGCUUUCAGGUAAUAUCUGCAUCACCAUGAUUCUGUAGCUUGCCAAGCGGCAAUGUGAAACAAGACACACAUACACAGGUUCUGUAGCAGCUACUCAACUUUCCCAUUAUAGCAAAAAAGUAUCCAUAGAUAAUAUGUAAAUUAGUGUGGCUGCAUUCCAAUAAAAACUUAUAGACACUAAAA
Molecule: long non-coding RNA, 2057 nt
Organism: Homo sapiens (human)
Lineage: Eukaryota; Metazoa; Chordata; Mammalia; Primates; Hominidae
Source: Ensembl